Pelobates cultripes (western spadefoot toad) is the source of this 542-nucleotide non-coding RNA. The record is from the annotation of a GenBank genome assembly. NCBI's taxonomy places the organism in Eukaryota, Metazoa, Chordata, Amphibia, Anura, Pelobatidae.
CCCAACACCACUGGCCAGCAUAUCGCUUAGUUCAGGACUUUAGAGCCCUGAAUAGUUUAAUUGUGCCCAUUUCACCCAUUGUCCCUGACGUGACAUCCCUCAUUACAGCCAUUCCACAUGAUGCCACUUGCGUCACUGUCAUUGAUUUAAGUAAUGCAUUUUUUUCUAUACCUAUUGAUCAAGAGACACGGCUACUUAUGGUUUUUACUUUUUGAAGGCUGUCAGUUUACCUGGACACGCUUACCCAAGGCUAUGUGGAUUCCCCAGCUGUUUAUUCGUUGGUACUCCAACAUACUCUAAAAAAAAAAACAUGGACCAUCGGUCAUGGUUCCGUCCUUUUUGCAAAAUGUUGAUGAUUUGUUGUUAUGUAGCCCUAGCUAUGAGGCAAGCACUGUGGAUACUGUCAGCAACUGUAGGUCACAAGGUUGUUAAACACAAAAUGCAAUUGUGUAAAUCAAAGGUUGAAUACUUAGGUUUUGUUCUGGCUUUAGGCACCAGACAAUUGAGUCCAAAACGUAUUGAGGUCAUUCAGAGGAUUCCUA